GCUCAAGGUGGCAAACUUUUGAUAAAAAGAAGUCUAGCCUUAGGGGCACCUCCCACAGCAAAAGGCUCCAGGAGCUGCCCGGGGUCUUGCUCUGAGGACCCCAUCAGCUCAGAACCCCCGGCUCCAGCCACCCGCGAGUACAAAGCGAAUGUCACCCGAGUUCCUGGGCGCCCUGCAACUUACCCUGCUUGGGGCUCUGUCCACUGGCAGGAUGCAGGGGAGGCGAAGAGAGAGGGGAGACAAGACACCAUCUCUACAGUCUCACGCCAGCCAGGAUAUCCCUCCUUCCCGAGCUUCCAGAAAAUCUCAGAUUUGGUGGGGUCCCAUCCGAGAUACCUACGAGUCACCAUCUUAACAGUCUCUAAGUGCACAGCUCAGCGGCACGAAGCACACUCACAUCGUCGUGCACCCACCCCCACAUUCCAUCUCUAGAACCUUCCAUCUCCCCACACGGAGACUCCCCAUCUCCUCCCUCAGCCCCUGGCUCCCACCACCAUCUCGUCUCUGUCUCUGUGCACGACGAGACUCCUCUAGGGACCUCCCGGGAAUGGAGCUGGACGGUAUUUGCCCUUUCGUGACUAGCCAGCUGCACUGAGCACACAUAGGGCUAACUCUUCCUGGGUGCUUGCUUAGCACCCAGUAUCGCCCUGGCGUGUAUCAGCUUGUCUAAACAUGACCACAAAGGCACAGACAAGGCAAGCAGCCAAGGGCACAGAGCCAGGACUCGGACCCAGGCGGCCUGGUGGCCGGGCCGGAGCCCCCACUCCUCGCCCUCAGCCUCCACCUCCGUCCAUCCCUGAAGCCCCUGCCCGGUCCCCCCUC
Molecule: long non-coding RNA, 822 nt
Organism: Canis lupus familiaris (dog)
Lineage: Eukaryota; Metazoa; Chordata; Mammalia; Carnivora; Canidae
Exons: 3
Source: RefSeq, a predicted model, not a curated record